GCGUAGGAAUCUACCUAGUAGUACGGAAUAGCCAUUAGAAAUGGUGGGUAAUACUGUAUAAUCCCCGAGGGGGAAAGAUUUAUCGCUAUUAGAUGAGCCUACGUUAGAUUAGCUAGUUGGUGAGGUAAUGGCUUACCAAGGCUAUGAUCUAUAGCUGGUCUGAGAGGACGAUCAGCCACACUGGAACUGAGAUACGGUCCAGACUCCUACGGGAGGCAGCAGUGGGGAAUAUUGGACAAUGGGCGAAAGCCUGAUCCAGCUAUGCCGCGUGAGUGAAGAA
Molecule: ribosomal RNA, 280 nt
Filed under: Ehrlichia canis
Lineage: Bacteria; Pseudomonadati; Pseudomonadota; Alphaproteobacteria; Rickettsiales; Anaplasmataceae
Description: partial 16S ribosomal RNA
Rfam family: Bacterial small subunit ribosomal RNA
Source: RNAcentral